This 2679-nucleotide long non-coding RNA is filed under the name Citrus sinensis (sweet orange). Its description in RNAcentral is "long non-coding RNA (CSIN_LNC003563)". The record is from RNAcentral. Lineage: Eukaryota; Viridiplantae; Streptophyta; Magnoliopsida; Sapindales; Rutaceae.
AAUUACUUAAUUAACACACACACACACACAUAUAUAUAUAAGCAAUAUAAUGAAUUACAAUUUGCCACGUUGAAGUCCUUUGAGGAAGUGGAUGCUUUCGUGGAAUUUGAGGAACAAGGCCAGCAUGAAAACGCGAUGAAGAUCCCAUUUUGCAAAUAUGUUUGUUUUAGAGGCAACUCUAAUUUAAGGUUGUCGUAAUUUUUCGUAUUAUACAUAACAAGUGCCUAAUUAACCAUAGAUCUCCUAUAUAUGCAGCUGUAUGCCACAAUAUCGAGUGGAUCAAUCGCCAUUAGACGAAGCCCAUACCAUGGGGAAGACCUUGCAAAACAAGAUUGAGAAAGCCGCAGAAGUUGAACGAGCAUUCGUUCAUAUAUACUGACUUGGCCACAAGCUACCCAGCAGUCAGCCAUGAUUGUUUCAACUCUUAUUACUUCUAAGUCACCCAUGUAACUGUUACUAGGGCAAAGCCCAAAGAAAGCUACGUGAAACCAUUCGGACAAGUCUCGAGAGACUUAUAGGUACUAUAACUUAAUAAUUUAGAAAGUUAAGCAAUUUUUUUAUAUUUAUGAACACGGUGUUAGAGCCUGCGUCUAACUUUGAAUCCUGGUUCAUAACCAUCCUGUAAAUCAAUCAAGUACGUUAAUUGCACUACACGAAAAAUAUUUUUUGUCUUCGAACAAUUGUUAUCCAAAAAAAUGAACUUGUAGUAACAUGUAAUCCAUUUUUAAUACAUUAAUUACAUGCUAAGAUAAAGACCCUUUUCGAAAAGAAAGAAAGGAGAGAAAAGAUGGCAAGCACGCAAACUUAGUGCAAAACUGCAAACGUGUUAGGGGUCUUGUUGUUUUGGUUGCUAGACAUCAAGUUACUUUUGGCAGGAGCGUAAUGGUUUUCAUAUUUGGUCAUAUGGAUUUAAGUUGAAAUCUUUAAAAGACACGCAGUAAAACAGAGACAGAAUAAAAUGCUCUACUUCAUUUCAUUGUAUAUGCACAGUUCAAUUCUUGCUGGCCAAAAUGUGUUGAACCAGACGGCUGCAUGUUUAUCUCCAUUGUACCGUUGAUCUUAUCCUCACUUCUCAUUGGCAUUCUCGGUACUUUGCUGAGUCACUUGCCACGUCUGCCAUAUCAGGUUACAUGUCACUUGUCUAGUCAGGUGCUUGUUAGGAGCUGCUUCACUGUGUCAAUUCAUCAAGCAUUUAGUUUACUUCAUCAAACACCUUCAUCAGGAAAAGUCAUUUGUACUCGGGUCGAAUAUUUGAACUCUAAAAAAUAAUGAAAUACCCAGCAACAUACUUUCCAAUGAAACGUUUUAUUACUAAAAUAAUAACUCCAAAAUAACAAAAGGUUUUUACUAAAUUGUAAAACAUAUUCAACCUACGCACGUCGUUUUUUUUUUUUUCAGAAGAUCGUCGAGAUUACAUUACAUGAUAAGCAGAUAAUGAUUUAUUGAACGCCGCAGCAGAAAAUAUGGCGCUCUAUUUUGUAAGGAAAGCAACAGUCUUAGCCGUUAAUAUUAUUGAUUGCAUGCUAAAGGCCAAGCCUGUUUUACACAAGGUAGCAAAAUGCUCACAGUUACUUACCAGUAGAUUGUAGCCAGCACAAAAAUCUUUCCUUUGUAGUUUGCUAGUGGCAAAUUCAAUAACUUCCUCCGGUGACUUUAUACAACCACCAUACUGUAUGACAUACUGACGUACAAUGCUACACUCAUAAUCAUAGACAUACAAUGAGUGGCCAUCCAAGAAGCAAUCAAGACACGUUUUGAUGGUUCCACAAUUAAACCCUUUCUGGCACCCUUUUGCUACAUGCAUGACUUUUCAACACUUCCUUUACUAGCUAGUAGCCAACCCUUGGUGUAUAAAUGAAUACCCAUUCAUGCAAACUCUCUGUUGCAGCAACCUUGGUUUUGUUCUUCUUCUUCUUUAUGCUCUUUUCUUCUCUCCUCUGCUUCUUGCAAUUACUUAAUUAACACACACACACACACAUAUAUAUAUAAGCAAUAUAAUGAAUUACAAUUUGCCACGUUGAAGUCCUUUGAGGAAGUGGAUGCUUUCGUGGAAUUUGAGGAACAAGGCCAGCAUGAAAACGCGAUGAAGAUCCCAUUUUGCAAAUAUGUUUGUUUUAGAGGCAACUCUAAUUUAAGGUUGUCGUAAUUUUUCGUAUUAUACAUAACAAGUGCCUAAUUAACCAUAGAUCUCCUAUAUAUGCAGCUGUAUGCCACAAUAUCGAGUGGAUCAAUCGCCAUUAGACGAAGCCCAUACCAUGGGGAAGACCUUGCAAAACAAGAUUGAGAAAGCCGCAGAAGUUGAACGAGCAUUCGUUCAUAUAUACUGACUUGGCCACAAGCUACCCAGCAGUCAGCCAUGAUUGUUUCAACUCUUAUUACUUCUAAGUCACCCAUGUAACUGUUACUAGGGCAAAGCCCAAAGAAAGCUACGUGAAACCAUUCGGACAAGUCUCGAGAGACUUAUAGGUACUAUAACUUAAUAAUUUAGAAAGUUAAGCAAUUUUUUUAUAUUUAUGAACACGGUGUUAGAGCCUGCGUCUAACUUUGAAUCCUGGUUCAUAACCAUCCUGUAAAUCAAUCAAGUACGUUAAUUGCACUACACGAAAAAUAUUUUUUGUCUUCGAACAAUUGUUAUCCAAAAAAAUGAACUUGUAGUAACAUGUAAUCCAUUUUUAAUAC